This 390-nucleotide ribosomal RNA is filed under the name uncultured bacterium. RNAcentral describes it as "bacterial SSU rRNA". It matches the Rfam family "Bacterial small subunit ribosomal RNA", at positions 28 to 416 of the family's 1533-position model. The record is from RNAcentral.
GACGAACGCUGGCGGCGUGCUUAACACAUGCAAGUCGAGCGGUAAGGCCCUUUCGGGGGUACACGAGCGGCGAACGGGUGAGUAACACGUGGGUGACCUGCCCUUAGCUCUGGGAUAAGCCUGGGAAACUGGGGUCUAAGUACCGGAUAUGACUCCAUGACGCAUGUUGUGGGGUGGAAAGCCUUGUGCGGCUAGGGAUGGGCCCGCGGCCUAUCAGCUUGUUGGUGGGGUGAUGGCCUACCAAGGCGACGACGGGUAGCCGGCCUGAGAGGGCGACCGGCCACACUGGGACUGAGACACGGCCCAGACUCCUACGGGAGGCAGCAGGUGGGGAAUCGUUGCGCAAUGGGCGAAAGCCUGACGCAGCGACGCCGCGUGGGGAUGACGGCC